AGAAGCAACACGAGCUAAUGUGUCUCUUGACUCCGAGCUAAUAGGACUAUUAAAAAUACGUGCACGUGCCCUGUCAUACUCCUCUUUUCUCUCUUCCACAGUUCUUACUGGGCUACGGUUUGGACCAGAUUCACCAUCAUUUGGCGAGGUUUUACUAGGCCUUGGUCGUAUUACAAUUUUCAUCUUCUCGUAUUUGUCAUUGUCAACGGUUUGGACCAGAUUCACCAUAAUUUGACAAGGUUUUACUAGGCCUUGGUCGUAUUACAAUUUUCAUCUUCUCAUAUUUGUCAUUGUCAGAUUGUUUAGGUGGGAUGUCUGACAAACGCACAGCAGGGUAUUUGCUUUCAGGCUUUCGUGUCACCAGAAUUUUGGCUCCCUGACCAUCCACC
RNAcentral lists this long non-coding RNA (389 nucleotides) under Nicotiana benthamiana. RNAcentral's name for it is "long non-coding RNA (NBEN_LNC004960)". Lineage: Eukaryota; Viridiplantae; Streptophyta; Magnoliopsida; Solanales; Solanaceae. The record is from RNAcentral.